This is a non-coding RNA of Pelobates cultripes (western spadefoot toad), 203 nucleotides long. Lineage: Eukaryota; Metazoa; Chordata; Amphibia; Anura; Pelobatidae. The record is from the annotation of a GenBank genome assembly.
GGCAGGUGUUUUUGUGUGUGGGGGGGUUGCAGAAGGGGAAACAGAGGUUCUCUAGCUGGGGUUUUGGGCAAGGGGUUUUGUAGAAGGGGGAGGUGUUUUGUAGAAGGGCAGCAGGGGUUUAUGUAGAAUGAGUGCAGGGCUUUUGUAGAGGGUGACAGUGGUUUUGGUGGAGGGGGGAGUGAUAUUCUGUGUACAUUACUGUG